GACGAACGCUGGCGGCGUGCUUAACACAUGCAAGUCGAACGGAAAGGCCCUGCUUUUGUGGGGUGCUCGAGUGGCGAACGGGUGAGUAACACGUGAGUAACCUGCCCUUGACUUUGGGAUAACUUCAGGAAACUGGGGCUAAUACCGGAUAGGAGCUCCUGCUGCAUGGUGGGGGUUGGAAAGUUUCGGCGGUUGGGGAUGGACUCGCGGCUUAUCAGCUUGUUGGUGGGGUAGUGGCUUACCAAGGCUUUGACGGGUAGCCGGCCUGAGAGGGUGACCGGCCACAUUGGGACUGGGAUACGGCCCAGACUCCAACGGGAGGCAGCAGUGGGGAAUAGUGCACAAUGGGCGGAAGCCGGAUGCAGCAACGCCGCGUGCGGGAUGACGGCCUUCGGGUUGUAAACCGCUUUCGCCUGUGACGAAGCGUGAGUGACGGUAAUGGGUAAAGAAGCACCGGCUAACUACGUG
Molecule: ribosomal RNA, 468 nt
Filed under: uncultured bacterium
Lineage: Bacteria
Description: partial 16S ribosomal RNA
Rfam family: Bacterial small subunit ribosomal RNA
Source: RNAcentral